CGGCCUAGACCAUAGUCUCCAUGGCCUCCCUUUGUGGUUGUGCCAUGGUGAAGUUCAUUAUUUGGUAGAAGGUUGUCAUUGUAUGUAUUCAGAGGUGAUGAUCUAAUACAUCUAUUAUAUGAGCAAUAUUCUUCAUGUUAUCCAAUCUAUUAGCAACUCAAUGCCUCCUUUUUAUACUUUCUGGAAUCAUGGAUGUGCUUAUUCCUAUGUAGUUCUAAAUUAGACUUUAGCAUGCUUUAUGUAACUUGGAUGAUUAGAUCAAGUAUAUUCACCCUUGAUGAUGACUACACAUGGGCUCUUUGUGAAGGACCAAAACAUGCGACCAAAGGGGGGUGAAUGGGAGCCGAUUCAAAUUUUUUCAAAGAACUUCAGCUAUAGUCCCAACCUAAUCCACGAACCUUUCUUCUAGCAACUAUCAAGAUCGCGUGCUCACAGGGGACCUACUGACCUUAGGAACAAUACUAGGAAGGCUCAGAAGCAACAUGGAACCAAACACAAAAAUUUAUGCAAAAUCAAGCUCAAAACACCUUCCAGGUAUCGGAACUUCCGACCUUGUAUCAAAACUUCCAAGAGUAGGAUCGGAACUUCAUGAUUUUGGUCAAAACACAAGAAAGGAGUGGUUUUCGGGGAAAAAACAAAUUAAGCCAAAUCCAGGGAGGAUUUGAGGGGGGAUAACUUCAAAGAUGUUCACAAGGAACCCAGCAACAUAGUCCCCAACAAACCUCAAAGGAUUUGGACUCAAACGCGAAGAAUGAAAAUCCCACGAAAAAUGCUCCGAAAAUACCAAAAAAGAAAAACGCUCGGGAAUCAAAGAUUUGGCACAAAUCAAGAUAUCUAUUAAGGCCAAAUCACAAGGAAAUCAUCUUUACCAGAUGAGGACUAGCCUCCUCCCUUCAUCCACCCACUAAAGAUGAAGAAAUCAAGAGAAAAUGAGCAAAUCACCCUCUAAUCUCCCUCUCUCCUCUCUCACUAAGCACUUGGCUAGCCUCUAAGCAAAUGAUUUAGGGUUUUCUAGAUAGGCGCUGAAAUGAACAGCCAUCCACCCAUAUUUAUAGUCCAAGACGGAUGACAAAACUACCCCUACAACUACAACUAGGAUAAUUACCCACGCAGAGGCAUUUUGGUCCAAGUUUUUCUACGCUCAUCGGACGGACACGCCACCUUCACGACUUUGCUUUGCCUCGACGCAAUAUUCGCGAUGAUGCCACGUGCCUUCCUUCUUGAAGGUCCGGCCGCAUCGGGCUCACCCCUGAUUUUGAGGCCCAAACCGUCAAACCUGC
Molecule: long non-coding RNA, 1280 nt
Filed under: Setaria viridis
Lineage: Eukaryota; Viridiplantae; Streptophyta; Magnoliopsida; Poales; Poaceae
Description: long non-coding RNA (SVIR_LNC006654)
Source: RNAcentral